RNAcentral lists this long non-coding RNA (217 nucleotides) under Lathyrus oleraceus (garden pea). RNAcentral describes it as "Pisum sativum (pea) long non-coding RNA (PSAT_LNC015604)". Lineage: Eukaryota; Viridiplantae; Streptophyta; Magnoliopsida; Fabales; Fabaceae. The record is from RNAcentral.
AGAAUUGAAUGGAAAGAAGAAUGGAUAGACUUGAUAGUUACUGGAUAAGAAUCACACUAAAGCCUAUGGGCAAAGGUGGAUACGAUAAGCAACGAGUCAAACGUCUCGCACCCAAAGAUAUCCAGAACAAGUGUAGGAAAGCUCCAGUAUCAUUCCUUCUUUACCACUUAAGGCUCAUGGCAUGUAAUUCUCGUCUUAACUUCAAGUAGGAAGAGAA